RNAcentral lists this long non-coding RNA (427 nucleotides) under Chinchilla lanigera (long-tailed chinchilla). RNAcentral's name for it is "lncRNA (ENSCLAG00000024216.1)". The record is from RNAcentral. Lineage: Eukaryota; Metazoa; Chordata; Mammalia; Rodentia; Chinchillidae.
GCUGCACUGUGUUUGUUCAUCAUCUCUUUGCUAGGCACAACUUGGGAAGGACCACAUAGGAAGUGAUCUCCUCCACUCUAUCAGCUGUCAAGGCAGCAGGCCCAUCCUCCUGGAUGCAACGUACCCAACACAAUCCUGGGGAAUUAGAGACCGUGGCCAGCUGUGAGCAACCACCAUUGGAAUAGUCCUGAGAACACAUAGAAGCCAUGAGAUUCUUCUCAAGAGAAAAAUAAAGUCUUCAGCACUGGACGACGUUUGACCGUUAUGUUUUGAAGACAGCCAUUUGAUCUUUUUGACCAUGCGUGUGUGGCCUGCCUUGCAAGAAGACAUGAACCGGAGUGCAAAGCCGGAAGAUACAUAGCCGGCGGUAGUACCAGUUGCCACAGAAGCCCAAGUAGUCGACCCCGCUCCCCGUGAGCCAGGCAAG